AGUGAACGCUGGCGGUAGGCCUAACACAUGCAAGUCGAACGGCAGCACAGGAGAGCUUGCUCUCUGGGUGGCGAGUGGCGGACGGGUGAGGAAUACAUCGGAAUCUGCCCAGUCGUGGGGGAUAACGUAGGGAAACUUACGCUAAUACCGCAUACGACCUUCGGGUGAAAGAGGGGGAUCGCAAGACCUCUCGCGAUUGGAUGAGCCGAUGUCGGAUUAGCUAGUUGGCGGGGUAAUGGCCCACCAAGGCGACGAUCCGUAGCUGGUCUGAGAGGAUGAUCAGCCACACUGGAACUGAGACACGGUCCAGACUCCUACGGGAGGCAGCAGUGGGGAAUAUCGGACAAUGGGCGCAAGCCUGAUCCAGCCAUACCGCGUGGGUGAAGAAGGCCUUCGGGUUGUAAAGCCCUUUUGUUGGGAAAGAAAUCUUUCAGGCUAAUACCCUGGGAGGAUGACGGUACCCAAAGAAUAAGCACCGGCUAACUUCGUG
Molecule: ribosomal RNA, 490 nt
Filed under: uncultured bacterium
Lineage: Bacteria
Description: partial 16S ribosomal RNA
Rfam family: Bacterial small subunit ribosomal RNA
Source: RNAcentral